UACAGAGGGGGCAAGCGUUGUUCGGAAUUACUGGGCGUAAAGGGCGCGUAGGCGGCCUUCUAAGUCGAACGUGAAAUCCCCGGGCUCAACCCGGGAACUGCGUCCGAUACUGGAAGGCUUGAAUCCGGGGAGGGAUGCGGAAUUCCAGGUGUAGCGGUGAAAUGCGUAGAUAUCUGGAGGAACACCGGUGGCGAAGGCGGCAUCCUGGACCGGCACUGACGCUGAGGCGCGAAAGCCAGGGGAGCAAACGGG
This 252-nucleotide ribosomal RNA is filed under the name uncultured bacterium. RNAcentral's name for it is "partial 16S ribosomal RNA". It matches the Rfam family "Bacterial small subunit ribosomal RNA", at positions 524 to 776 of the family's 1533-position model. The record is from RNAcentral.